AUACGGAGGAUCCGAGCGUUAUCCGGAUUUAUUGGGUUUAAAGGGUGCGCAGGCGGGAGAUUGAGUCGGCGGUGAAAUUUUGCAGCUCAACUGUAAAAGUGCCUUCGAAACUGGUUUCCUUGAGUGUAGAUGAAGUAGGCGGAAUUUGUGGUGUAGCGGUGAAAUGCAUAGAUAUCACGAGGAACUCCGAUUGCGCAGGCAGCUUACUAAACUACUACUGACGCUCAGGCACGAAGGCGUGGGGAUCAAACAGGAUUAGAUACCCUGGUAGUCCACGCAGUAAACGAUGAUUACUAGCUGUUUGCGAUACAAUGUAAGCGGCUGAGCGAAAGCGUUAAGUAAUCCACCUGGGGAGUACGUUCGCAAGAAUGAAACUCAAAGGAAUUGACGGGG
This 393-nucleotide ribosomal RNA is filed under the name uncultured bacterium. Its description in RNAcentral is "partial 16S ribosomal RNA". It matches the Rfam family "Bacterial small subunit ribosomal RNA", at positions 523 to 918 of the family's 1533-position model. The record is from RNAcentral.